GUCCUAGCUGUAAACGGUGCUUAUUUGCUGUAAAAGGAAUCGACCCCUUUUGUGGCGUAGCCAACGCGAUAAAUAAGCCGCCUGGGAAGUACGGUCGCAAGAUUAAAAACUCAAAGAAAUUGACGGGGGCCUGCACAAGCGGUGGAGUAUGUGGCUCAAUUCGAUGCAACGCGAAGAACCUUACCAAGCCUUGACAUGUAGGUAGUAGAAGCCUGAAAGGGUGACGAGGUCGCAAGACCAGCUUACACAGGUGCUGCAUGGCUGUCGC
This 268-nucleotide ribosomal RNA is filed under the name uncultured bacterium. Its description in RNAcentral is "partial 16S ribosomal RNA". It matches the Rfam family "Bacterial small subunit ribosomal RNA", at positions 793 to 1055 of the family's 1533-position model. The record is from RNAcentral.